RNAcentral lists this ribosomal RNA (786 nucleotides) under Penicillium sp. CR-2009c. Its description in RNAcentral is "eukaryotic LSU rRNA". The stretch from base 155 to 307 matches the Rfam family "5.8S ribosomal RNA". The record is from RNAcentral. Lineage: Eukaryota; Fungi; Ascomycota; Eurotiomycetes; Eurotiales; Aspergillaceae.
ACCCGGGACAACGCGCCCCGCGUUAGAAAGCCGUUCGCUAGGGCGGCUCGCCCGGGUGGCCGGCGGGGGGCAUGCGGACCCGACCCCGCGAUUGUUAAGAACCAUUGAAUUAUGAAUGAAGAUUGUAGUCCGAAACUUUAGCUAACGCAUCUAUAGCUUUCAACAUCGAAGAUCAAGGUUCCGGAAUCGAUGAAGAACUCAGCAUAAUGGAAUUAGUAAUGUGAAUUGCUCAAUUCAGUGAAUCAUCGAGUCUUUGAAUUCACAUUGCGCCCCCUGUAUUCCGGGGGGCAUGCCUGUAAGAGCGUCAUUGCUGCCCUCAAGCACGGCUUGUGUGUUGGGCCCCCGCCCCCCGGUUCCGGCGCUGUCCCCGAAAGCAGCGUAACUAACCGCGCCAUGUCCUCGAGCGUAUGCGGCUUCGUCACCCGCUCUGUAUGCCCGGCCGGCCCUCGGAUCAGGACGCCAUUCAAUCUUGUCCAGGUUGACCUCGGAUCGGGAAAGGAAAUACCCGCUGAACUUAAGCAUAUCAAUAGGACGGAGGAAACCCUUUUUUCCGCUUAAUCAACGGAAGGCAAGUAUUGAAAACGUCGAAAUAGUCGAGGUGCCUAAAUGGGGGGUGCGCUGGUCAGCACACUCCAGCUAAAGAAAAAUGCACUGUGAUAAGCGGAAAAGAUGAGUAAUAUAGUAAGGAAGGCAGUCGCUCUUGACCGACGAACCCGUUAUUAUACUACUAGCUCCAUGCGCCGACAAAAGGAAUAACGAGGUUCUGAAGGGUUUGAGGGCAUGGUU